Molecule: small nucleolar RNA, 86 nt
Filed under: Thalictrum thalictroides
Lineage: Eukaryota; Viridiplantae; Streptophyta; Magnoliopsida; Ranunculales; Ranunculaceae
Description: Small nucleolar RNA Z102/R77
Rfam family: Small nucleolar RNA Z102/R77
About the family: Z102 and R77 and are members of the C/D class of snoRNA which contain the C (UGAUGA) and D (CUGA) box motifs.
Source: Rfam by way of RNAcentral
GAUUGAUAUGAUGAUUAGAUUAAUUUCCCUAUUGGUUUGAUUGCCGAUAUGAUGGCACAUCAUGUAUUAGCUCUAUCUGAUCAUUC